This 262-nucleotide ribosomal RNA is filed under the name uncultured archaeon. Its description in RNAcentral is "partial 16S ribosomal RNA". It matches the Rfam family "Archaeal small subunit ribosomal RNA", at positions 748 to 1009 of the family's 1478-position model. The record is from RNAcentral.
AGGGUGUAAACGCUGCAGACUUGGUGUUGGGAGCCCUUUGGGGGCAUUCAGUGCCGGAGAGAAGUUGUUAAGUCUGCUACUUGGGGAGUACGUCCGCAAGGAUGAAACUUAAAGGAAUUGGCGGGGGAGCACCGCAACGGGAGGAGCGUGCGGUUUAAUUGGAUUCAACACCGUAAAACUCACCAGGGAAGACUGUUACAUGAAGGCCGAGAUGAAGACUCUGCUAGAUUUUUCAGAGAGGUGGUGCAUGGCGUAGACGUCU